Molecule: ribosomal RNA, 777 nt
Filed under: Triticum aestivum (bread wheat)
Lineage: Eukaryota; Viridiplantae; Streptophyta; Magnoliopsida; Poales; Poaceae
Description: partial small subunit ribosomal RNA
Source: RNAcentral
AUGGACUUCAUCGAAGCUCUACCAAAAUCUGAGGGCUAUACAGUGAUCUUAGUGGUGGUUGAUAGACUGACCAAGUAUGCUCACUUUAUCCCCUUGAAACAUCCUUUCUCUGCUCUAGUGGUAGCGAAAGCAUUCCUACAUACUGUGGUCAAAUUGCAUGGACCACCCCAUACUAUAGUUUCAGAUAGGGACAAGAUCUUUACCAGUCACUUUUGGAAGGAUUUGUUCAAGCUUUGGGAUACUAAAUUGCUCAUGAGUACUGCCUAUCAUCCUCAAACAGAUGGGCAGAGUGAAAGAGUGAAUCAGUGUUUGGAGAUGUUUCUCAGAUGUGCAGUACAUGAUACUCCAACAAAAUGGCAUUCCUGGUUACCCUUAGCAGAAUUCUGGUACAAUACUAUUUUUCAUUCUGCUUUGGAGUGCUCCCCUUUCAAAGCUCUCUAUGGAUAUGAACCUACUUAUGGGGUGUUUCCCUCUUUGCUUACCUCUGAUAAUGUUGAAGUGGAACAGUGGCUUAAGGAACACCAGGCACAUACAUCUCUGCUGAAGGUGCACUUACUUAAAGCCCAGACGAAGAUGAAACACUAUGCAGAUCAGAACAGAUCACCCAGGAUGUUUUCGGUGGGAGACUCGGUGUAUUUGAAGCUCCAGCCAUAUGCUCAACACACUGUAGUCAACCGACCAUGUGCAAAAUUAGCAUAUAAGUUCUAUGGGCCUUUUGAAGUUUUGGAACAGAUCGGACCGGCUGCUUACAAACUUCAGCUACCUGCAGCAGCCUAG